This 169-nucleotide ribosomal RNA is filed under the name Planococcus glaciei. RNAcentral describes it as "Planomicrobium glaciei partial 16S ribosomal RNA". It matches the Rfam family "Bacterial small subunit ribosomal RNA", at positions 1373 to 1533 of the family's 1533-position model. Lineage: Bacteria; Bacillati; Bacillota; Bacilli; Caryophanales; Caryophanaceae. The record is from RNAcentral.
CCCGGGCCUUGUACACACCGCCCGUCACACCACGAGAGUUUGUAACACCCGAAGUCGGUGAGGUAACCCUUGUGGAGCCAGCCGCCGAAGGUGGGACAGAUGAUUGGGGUGAAGUCGUAACAAGGUAGCCGUAUCGGAAGGUGCGGCUGGAUCACCUCCUUUCUAAGGA